This 253-nucleotide ribosomal RNA is filed under the name uncultured bacterium. RNAcentral describes it as "partial 16S ribosomal RNA". It matches the Rfam family "Bacterial small subunit ribosomal RNA", at positions 524 to 776 of the family's 1533-position model. The record is from RNAcentral.
UACAGAGGGUGCGAGCGUUAAUCGGAAUUACUGGGCGUAAAGCGCACGUAGGCGGCUUGGUAUGUCGGGUGUGAAAUCCCCGGGCUCAACCUGGGAACUGCGUCCGAUACUGGUAGGCUUGAAUUCGGGAGAGGGAUGCGGAAUUCCAGGUGUAGCGGUGAAAUGCGUAGAUAUCUGGAGGAACACCGGUGGCGAAGGCGGCAUCCUGGACCGACAUUGACGCUGAGGCGCGAAAGCCAGGGGAGCAAACGGG